RNA transcript from Neoarius graeffei (lesser salmon catfish), 4555 nucleotides. It is a transcript of the gene named splicing factor 3B subunit 2-like, with no coding region annotated. The record is from RefSeq and is a predicted model, not a curated record. NCBI's taxonomy places the organism in Eukaryota, Metazoa, Chordata, Actinopteri, Siluriformes, Ariidae. The transcript has 22 exons.
UUCCCAUGAUCCUCUGCGCCAGAUCUGUGUGAAUGUGUUGUGUGCAGCGCGCUGUGUGCAAAUAAGAAAAUAAAGAUGGCGGCUGAUGGAAUCCCGGGCACAGAGCCGAACCCGGACCUGAACUCAUGGAGCGGCCCCGAGUUACAGACCAAACUGACGGAGAGCGGAGCGCCUGUUAUGGGCCCGAGAGAAGAGUUAAUAGACAGACUGAAAUCCUACAUGAUGCAGACCGGUGUGAUGUUGACUAAACCCAGCUUGCCCGGCGGAGACGACAAGGCCAUGACGACGAUGCCAGGUCUGCCUCCCAUGCCCCCAAUGCCAUCUAUGCCUCUGCCGCCAGGCAUGGGCGUGCUGCAGGCCAUGGGUAUAAUGGGAGGACCACCUCCACCUGGCAUGAGCAUGGAGCCACCGGGCAUCUCCUCUGGCAUGGCACAGGACGACCCGCAGAAGAUCGCUCAGAGGGCCGGUCAGGGCGAUUCCAGAGUGAUGGAGGAGCAGCUGAAGGAGCAGGAGCUUCUCGAGCAACAGAAGAGAGCUGCACAGCUGCUGGAGCACGAGAGGCAGCAGGAGUUGGUUAAGCUGCAGCAGGUGGGACCACCAGGCACCCGGGCCCCAGAAGCAGGACCUGCACCCAACCUGCUGCCCCCUAUUCCUCCACUCAGAGCCUUGAUAACCAGUGGCCCACCCCCUCCAGGCGUUUCCAUGGUACCGCAGAGCAGUCAGAGGCAGAGAGUACCACCUCCACCUGGAGAAGAUGCGAGAGAGGCGUGGCAGAGUGAUGAUGUGGGAGUCGGGCCGAAGAACCCUCAGGCUCUGGAGAAGAUCCUACAGCUGAAGGAGAUCCGACAGGAGCAGCUCACCGCCGCUCCUACAGAAGAGGAAGAUGACGACACGGCCGAUGUGGACAUGAACAGCUCUCGUCCGUACUCGGAUGAUGAAGAAGAAAGCACACUCUCUAAAAAAGAGUGUGGCACUGGGUCACUAGUGUUUAUUGAUGAUGUGACACAAGACAGAAGCAGCCGGAUGAAUUCUGAGGAGGAUGCAAAAACUAUGAAGACCAAAAUGCGAGAGAAAGUUCGCCCAAAGAUGGGAAAGAUUGACAUCGACUACCAGAAGCUCCAUGACGCCUUCUUCAAGUGGCAGAUCAAGCAGAAGCUCACCAUCCAUGGAGACCUGUACUACAAGGGGAAGGAGUUUGAGACGCGGCUGAAGGAGAAGAAACCUGGAGAUCUGUCUGAUGAGCUGAGGAUCGCUCUGGGCAUGCCCACUGGCCCUAACUCCCAUAAGGUUCCUCCUCCAUGGCUUAUUGCGAUGCAGAGAUACGGUCCUCCCCCGUCCUACCCCAAUCUCAAGAUUCCUGGCCUCAACGCCCCUAUUCCUGAGCAUCAUCUACAACCUGGGGAUGAGUGCCACUCAUGUCCACAAUGAAGCUUGGUCCACCAGACACUCUGCUGAUCUGCAACUGGCUCCCUGAGAUAGGAACAAAUGAGUGGUUGUUCCUGAGAUCUCGUGGUGUCAGUAUGUGUUGUGAAGUAACUGCCUGUAAGCUGGCUCUAGCUGCAGAACGCUUCACGGUGCCACCUAUCCUGUCACAAGGAAUUGGACUAAAGAAAGAUUCUGACUGCCAUAAACUAACAUACAACAGAAAUUCUGGAGUCAGUUCAGUCCCGUUGACAAAGGCCCAACCACCAAUGAAGUAUGCCGUUUCCCUUCUUGGUGUCUCUUGGCCACCAAGGGCCAGAGCUGCCAUCGUCUCUCUCUCUGGCAGUCUGGGACAGGUCCUCAGCAAAACAGUUUGUUGUUUUGGAGGGGAGGGUUUUUUUUUCUCCCUUUUCCUGUUUUUCAGACUGCAUCCCGGUAGCUGUGUGAGGUGAACUGGAGGAUAAUCGCUCGAGGUUUGGAGUCGUCUUUCCAUUGGCUGACCGAGCUGAUGUACUGUGUUGAUAACCUCAGGAAACUUGGCCUGGUACUCAGGUGAAGUGCUUGCUGUGCCAGAAGGAACGAGUGUAGAACAAGAAUAUAUCAGUGCUGAGGCAUUAUAGAGCUUUUCAUGAGAAUCAGCAGCCUGCCAACAGACCAGACACAAGCGACAAUUCCAGAAAAACAAAUGAUGGAUGAGGCCUUGGUUAAUAUGAUAAUUCCAGACACCCAGCCAUUGUCAGUGGUGGAAGAUGUGGGUUUGAUGGAGCUCAUGCACAUACUGGAACCCACUGAUCUUCUCCCUACUAGGAAGAUGUCAGAAUGUAGUGACAGUCAGCCUCACCUCUGAUAUCUGGACAUCCAUGAAUAUGGAGACUUACCUUCCAGUAACCUGCCACUUCAUUGAUGACAAUGACAGACUUGGAACAAUUUUGCUUGGAGCAGAACAUUUUCCAAGUCAUCACACAGCAGAAAAUAUGGCUCUGGCAAAAGCAAAAUUGAUGGAGGAGUGGGACAUAAAAGAAAAGGUGAAGUGUCUCAUCACUGAUGCUGCACCAAAUAUGAUAAGCUUGUGCCAAGGCAUUGCAUGUGAGACAUGCUGUUUGCAUCACACACAAUUUAAUAGUGCAAAAGUCAUUUGACCAUGUCCCAGCCCUUAAAGGUGGAGUAUGAGAUUUUUUUCAGGAGUAUUUUUUACCAUAUUGCUUGAAAAGCUCCUCACACCCAUGUUGCAAGCAGUACAAUAGAAGGUUUGACCCAAAAACGAAAUAUUUUAAUCCAGUCUACAGUGUAAAAUAAAGGAAAAAUGCCAUCCAAUCAUAUCGAGGUACCACCUCAAAAUGAUUGGAUACUGACACGUCAAUCAGACUGAAGCCCGAGCAGCCCGGCCCUUCUGUGUGUGUGAGAGAGAGAGAGAGAGAGAGACAGCGAGCAGUGUCGCACAGAAAGCACAGGAUUCUCUCAGUGCGCUUCCUCCAAACAACGGGGAUUUACACGAAAACGGAAGGAGAUAUUCACAAAAUUCUUUCACAGUGAGUGCCACAAGGCUUUCCUGAACACACUGAUGUAAUUUCUUUGUCUGUAGUGUAAAAAAUGAGGUCACUAGAGCGAGUUAAAAACGAGUGACUUUUCUGGCAAGUUUUAUAAUGGAAGUCUAUGAGCUGGGUGGCUGUGCUCUCCUCACUUUCAGGCUUCUCAUUCAAAAACUGCAAGUCCUAUCAUGUAGGUAGACACAUUGUGUGAAUCAGGACAAGUGUGGCUACUACUUUUGAGAAAAUUGUGUGUGGAGUGAAAAUUGGGGCUGAAAACACAGUUUAAAUGAGAAAGUUUGAGCUAUUUUUCCAAGCUCUCUACACUCUGCUCUAAGGGGGAGGAGGGGUGGAGACGCGGGGGGGAGCAUGGCGAGGGCGGGCGUGUUUCUUUUCAAAAUAUGGCUUGCAGGAACCGUUAUUCCAAAAUCUCAUACCCCACCUUUAAUGAUAUGCAUCCCAAAGCCAGAAAAAUCUUCUCUGUUUUUCUGGACAAGUCCUACAGCAAAAGAGAGACUGUGCCAGGUACAGAAGCAAAUGGGGAGGCAGACUCUGAAUAGAGGUAGAUACACGCUGGAACAGCACUUUCCACAUGCUGGAACUCCUUUAUAAUGAGACAGAACCAGUGGGAGCAGCCCUGGCAUCUUUAAAGACCAACAUCUCCCCAGUUAAUGCUCAUGAACAUGAGGCUGUUGGAGAUACUUUACAUAUUCUGGCUCCAAUCCGUCAGGCUACUGUAGAACUAUCUGAGGAGAAAAGGGUAUCUGCUUCAAAUACCUGUCUACAAUGGAGUCACUUAGUGCAAUGACGACGACAACCAUGCUCGACCCGAGGUUUAAAGCCACUGGGUUCCUAUACCAAAAUAAGAUGCAUGAAGCAGUAAAGCAACUGACAGAGUGGGCCAAUAGAAUUACAAUUGCUGAAUCUGCUAGAUCGAGUGAGCCCUUAAUCCAGCAGCCAGCCUCCUCUGAAACAGCUGGGAUGCAAACAGCUGUAUUGUCUUGUAGCAUCUGCUGGACCCCACAGUGAAUCAGAGCAGAAGAAGCUCAAAUGCCACUGCUGAUGCAACAAUAGAAGGGGAACGUUACUUGGGUGACAGACAGCAGAGAGGCUGGAGGAGAUUAAAGACAGUGCAGAGAAGGUAGAGGAAGAGAGGCAGGAAGAGAAAGAGGAGCAGAGGCUGAAGGGGAGGAUGGAGGAGGUAGAGGAGGGGAAUCCACAGCUGGAGGAGAUGGAGAAGCGGAAAGAGAGGUUGGAAAUUCACAGCUUUCCAUGGAAAAGGGACCUGAAUCACCAAAGUCAUCACUGCAGUAAAACCUGAUGUGGAUGAAGGGCUCUGAAUUGAGGAGUUUCGCAUGAAAUGUCUUUGGAAAACGUCUGAAAAAGCUUCUUUCCUCUGACAGUUUUUAUCACUCAUGUUUUUGUUUUCCAUGCAGCCCUACUGUGAAGCAGUUCCCAAAUGUUUACAGAGUGUUAUUAAACGUAGAAGUGAUGCUGCACAGUGGUAAACAUGCCCCUGUCCCAACUCUUUUGAAACAUGUUGCUGACAUCAAAUUCAAAAGGAGCAUAUAGUUUUCAAAAAACAAUAAAAUUUCUCAGUUUCAAUA